Molecule: ribosomal RNA, 467 nt
Filed under: uncultured bacterium
Lineage: Bacteria
Description: bacterial SSU rRNA
Rfam family: Bacterial small subunit ribosomal RNA
Source: RNAcentral
UCGGGAAUUUUGGGCAAUGGGCGCAAGCCUGAACCAGCCAUGCCGCGUGCAGGAAGACGGUCCUAUGGAUUGUAAACUGCUUUUAUUUGGGAAUAAACCUCCUUACGUGUAGGGAGCUGAAGGUACCAAAUGAAUAAGCACCGGCUAACUCCGUGCCAGCAGCCGCGGUAAUACGGAGGGUGCAAGCGUUAUCCGGAAUCAUUGGGUUUAAAGGGUCCGCAGGCGGAUUUAUAAGUCAGUGGUGAAAGCCUACAGCUUAACUGUAGAACUGCCAUUGAAACUGUAAGUCUUGAAUUCGGUCGAAGUGGGCGGAAUAUGACAUGUAGCGGUGAAAUGCUUAGAUAUGUCAUAGAACACCGAUAGCGAAGGCAGCUCACUAGGCCUGGAUUGACGCUCAGGGACGAAAGCGUGGGGAGCAAACAGGAUUAGAUACCCCCGUAGUCCCUGAGCGGGCUGGCAAGGCGCAU